CUCAGCGAGGUUCCAGGCAGGAAACGGGGGGCCAACUUUCCUGUCGCACAGACCUUCCCGCUGUCCUCGAGCAGCUCCCUCAGGGUCCCCCCCCUUACACGUCUGUGGGUUUGGGGGAGCAGGAGGGCACCGCAGUGUCUCCUCUCCCCGCUCCCAUUCUGCCCCAAGAGCAAGCAGCCUCCGGCCCGGGAACGCUCAGUUCCCCUCCCUCCCACUGCCGUCCCGUCGUGGCGACACAGCAGGGUGGUGGUAGGCCGAAGGGGACAGUGAGCUGUGCCAGGGCCGGUUGUGCCAUUUCUCUCAGUCCUUUUCUCUGAGCGGCUGCCGGAUUGCCAACUUGGAGCCCUUCUUCAGGGUGUGGGAGCCUCUGACGCUUCGGUGUCCGGCCGGGGGCUUUGCAGCGCGGGGCCCGCGGGAAGAGCACCCACGGCCGGUCCCCGCCUUCUUUCCUCGUCUCCACCGAACCUCUCUGGCUCUGCCCGCCCAGUUUCCAAAGGGAAAGGGCCGAGGUCUACAGCCGGUGGGACAGUUUUCCCCAAGGACGGUUCGGGCUUUUAUCCAUCUGCUGGUUUGAUAGUAAAUCAGAGUGGAAGCAUCAGCAGAGUCGAAGCUGACAUUCUCUCCCUGACUCCGCAUCGGACUGUGGUGUGCCCGGAUUGUGAUCUGGCCAAGCUCACUGGGACCCUGCCCUUCCUCUACACCAGCACACUUCUGGUCCUCCCGGAUCCUCUCUCGCAAAUAUUUCUGAAACACUCCUGCUGAAAGGUUACAUAUUCAUCCAGGUCCACCCUGCUCAGGACUGUCACCUCAGCUGCCCUUUGUGGCCAAGGUUCAUGGUCUUUGGAUUUUUGCUCCCUGUGG
Long non-coding RNA from Vulpes vulpes (red fox), 861 nucleotides. Lineage: Eukaryota; Metazoa; Chordata; Mammalia; Carnivora; Canidae. The record is from Ensembl.